UCUGGGACAAGCCCUGGAAACGGGGUCUAAUACCGGAUAACACUCUGUCCCGCAUGGGACGGGGUUGAAAGCUCCGGCGGUGAAGGAUGAGCCCGCGGCCUAUCAGCUUGUUGGUGGGGUGAUGGCCUACCAAGGCGACGACGGGUAGCCGGCCUGAGAGGGCGACCGGCCACACUGGGACUGAGACACGGCCCAGACUCCUACGGGAGGCAGCAGUGGGGAAUAUUGCACAAUGGGCGAAAGCCUGAUGCAGCGACGCCGCGUGAGGGAUGACGGCCUUCGGGUUGUAAACCUCUUUCAGCAGGGAAGAAGCGAGAGUGACGGUACCUGCAGAAGAAGCGCCGGCUAACUACGUGCCAGCAGCCGCGGUAAUACGUAGGGCGCAAGCGUUGUCCGGAAUUAUUGGGCGUAAAGAGCUCGUAGGCGGCUUGUUGCGUCGGUUGUGAGAGCCCGGGGCUUAACCCCGGGUCUGCAGUCGAUACGGGCAGGCUAGAGUGUGGUAUGGGA
Molecule: ribosomal RNA, 507 nt
Filed under: Streptomyces sp.
Lineage: Bacteria; Bacillati; Actinomycetota; Actinomycetes; Kitasatosporales; Streptomycetaceae
Description: bacterial SSU rRNA
Rfam family: Bacterial small subunit ribosomal RNA
Source: RNAcentral